GUCCGACGUUAUUGUCUUUUCCACUUGACCGGACAAGCUUAUCGGUUCAAGGACAGAGGAGAUUAAAAGGUUUAUAUCUAAAUUCCACCGAAGACACGGUAUCUUAUUGUCAAUAACAUGUGUUUGUAUAUCAGUGAUAUAUAAGAACCCAAGCGAUCGGUGCUGAGUAUCAGAUGAACUGCAGAGUUUAAGCGCAGAGCAAUGAAAAUGGAAUACCAACUUUUGUUGACUGUUUCUUUAACUGUGAUGUGCUUUGGGUUCUCCAUGUCACAAACUGUGGUAAAACAGGCCGAUCCUAAUGACUGCCAUCGAUUCUAUGAGAUUCGCUUGCUGAGCUGUCCUCCGCAAUUUAUUUGGAACUCAAACUUCGAGCGAUGCGAAAUGCAGGCGCUUGGUGGAUGUUCCUUCACUUCUUCAGCACCAAAUGGGAGUAAACGCUUUCAAAACGACUCAAUUCUAAGUCCGGAAAUCACAAAAUCACAAAAUCUUUUGGAGGUAUGUGACAACAAACUCGGACAGCGGAUAGUUUACCCAGGUGACUGCACCCGAUUCAUUCUGUGCGAUUAUCUGCCCUUUGUGAUGACCUGUCCGCAAUAUCUCUUUUGGAACUCCCAUCUACUCACUUGUGACAAAAUUUGUGUUUAGAUUUUCAAAAAUACGUUUGUGUGGAAUAAAGAAUUAAAUCAAAUGACUCUA
Drosophila gunungcola (fruit fly) is the source of this 696-nucleotide long non-coding RNA. RefSeq lists it as uncharacterized. The record is from RefSeq and is a predicted model, not a curated record. NCBI's taxonomy places the organism in Eukaryota, Metazoa, Arthropoda, Insecta, Diptera, Drosophilidae. The transcript is spliced from 2 exons.